GGUCUAAAUUUAUUCCCUUUGCUCUCUCGUCAGUUUCAGACUUUCAGUCUCUUCCUCCUCCACAUCCGCCAUCACCAACACCACCACUAUAUCGAUCAAACCAAACUCCACCACCAUCAUCUCCACAAUCAACAUCUCCACCUCUAUCUAUAACAUUUCAAUUUGUGUUUCUUUUUUAUUUCCAGUUAGAUUCGAGAGAAAGAUUUAAGUUUUUCGAUGAAAUUGAAAUCAUCAUCAGAUGUAGUAGAAUUUGAUAAUUGCUCUUCAUCUUCUUCGUCCAGAUUUUGAUAAUUGAUCCCGUUUUCGAGAUUUUUCGAUCUAUUAAUUUCGAUUGAAGAUUCAUGGAGUUAUAUGAGUUGAUCUAUGUAUUAACAGAUUUGAUAGAUUUGGUGAUUUGAGAAGAAAUGGAAGGUAAAUCAGAAACACCUAUAUGAAGAGAUUGUUUGUGAAGAGAUGAUGGUCGUUAGUAUCAGAUCCGAUUUGGAACUGAUCAGGAAAAUGAGCAGUGAAGAUAAAAUUGAUCGAGAGAUUCGUAAUCAGCAGUGUUUGCGGCAGUGGAUAUUGUGGUGGUGGCAGUGGUGGUCCUUUUUGUGUUUACAGCAACCUUUGGUGGUGGAUUUUAGUGCAGUGUAAUAGAGGUGAUAACAACAUUUAUGUUGGUGUUGGUGCAGUAGAGGUGGUGGUAGUGUAAAUGGAAGCAGCAAACCUUAUGUUUAAAUGAAAUUCAAAUAUAAAAAUCAUCAGGAGCAGCGGUCCAUCUUCUUCUUCUUCGUUGAAGAUUCGGGUGAGAUCCCAAUUUUAGGUUUUGAUUUCUGGUAUGGAUCUCAUUUUAAACUAAAUUUCCGAUAAUAAACGAUUUCAAUAUCAGAUUCAGAGUGAUCGAGAUUGAUUUUUGGUUUCAUUUAACUUUUAAGAUCGAGAUUCGAUUUUGAAUGAAUAAUUGGCAGUUUGAAUUUGGAGUUUGAAUGAAGAAUUCAGUGUUGAAAAAGAUACAUCAGUCAUGGGUACUUGUUGAUUUCGAUUAUAGAUACUAUAAUUAGAGAAAGCAAAGAAGAAUCAGGGGUCUGUUGAGAAGAAUCGAGAAUUAGGGAUUUGAUUUACAUAAAAUGAAGAAAUUGAAGCUCUCUAAUAAAGCAAUUGAAAGUUACUGAUCAACUUUGAGUUGGCUUGGUGUUUAUUUGUGAUUGAUUCAAGAAGAAAUUUGAAGAUGUUGGUGGUAUCUGAGAUGGAGUUGACCUAAUUGAUUGCUGUUGUGCAACAUGGAAAUGGAAGCAGAGGUUGCUAGGGAUGGAACUGCAGGGCUGGGAGUUGCUAUUGCAAACAACAAGAAUUAGAGCUGAUAUUGCAGACAACAACAAUUAGAGCUAAGAGAGGAGCUGUGUUUGAGGAUGCAAGGCUGUAUUUACAGUGUAGGUGUGGAACUUGGUGAUUGUCUUUUGGAAACUUAGGAGAUGGCUUAUGAUGGAGAUGUUUUUGAUGAUUUGGAUAUAGUUGUAGUUGUUGAGAUGGGUUUGCAGUAUUUGCGUACUUUAACAAAGACGGUGGUGGUUAUAUUACAGUUGACGAACUCCAGCAAGCUUGUGUGGAGCAUGACAUGACUGACGUUCUUCUAUCAUUAAAGAAGUUGAUCAGGAUAAUGUAUGUAUUGAAAAUCAUUGAAAUUUUUAAUUGUUCAUAUAUCAUUUUGAGCUGGAAUUGCAGUGACUGGUACUGGUAAAGAUGCAAGUGCAGGAAUUGCAUUUUUAGUGAUGCUGCAAGCGCAAAAUUGCAGCUGUUGUUGGAGUUGAUCUAUAAGUUUGUGGAACAAGGUUGCAGUUGGUGAAGCAGUGAACAAAUGGGAGUUGAAGUGAAGUGCAGAACAGUUUGAUGCUGCAGCUGAAGCUUGGCCAAUAGAGCUGGGUUUGCAUACAGUUUGUGAAGUUGAGCUUACUGAUAGAUGCUCAGCUGGUAUAUGUGAGUUUUUUUUUUGUCAAACCAGGUAGCUUUUUAUAUGCAUGUUACCUUGUGUUUAUGCAUGAAUAUGUGGUGCAAUGGUAGCACAACUACCUAUAUGUCAGAAGAUGUGUGUUCGACUCACACUAGGUUCA
This is a long non-coding RNA of Papaver somniferum (opium poppy), 2087 nucleotides long. RefSeq lists it as uncharacterized. The record is from RefSeq and is a predicted model, not a curated record. The transcript is spliced from 3 exons. Lineage: Eukaryota; Viridiplantae; Streptophyta; Magnoliopsida; Ranunculales; Papaveraceae.